Molecule: ribosomal RNA, 251 nt
Filed under: uncultured prokaryote
Description: partial 16S rRNA
Rfam family: Bacterial small subunit ribosomal RNA
Source: RNAcentral
ACGGAGGGUGCAAGCGUUAUUCGGAAUUACUGGGCGUAAAGCGCACGUAGGCGGCUUUGUAAGUCAGGGGUGAAAUCCCACGGCUCAACCGGGGAACUGCCUUUGAAACUGCAGAGCUUGAAUCCUGGAGAGGGUGGCGGAAUUCCUGGUGUAGGAGUGAAAUUCGUAGAUAUCAGGAGGAAUACCAGUGGCGAAGGCGGCCAUCUGGACAGGAAUUGACGCUGAGGUGCGAAAGUGUGGGGAGCAAACAG